UUGGGAUGGUGGCCCUCACGUGCUGUCACAUUUUUGGAGAACCAUGACACUGGAUCAACACAGGGUCACUGGCCAUUCCCACGAGAUAAGCUUACACAGGGAUAUGCAUACAUUUUGACUCAUCCUGGAACUCCUGUCAUUUUCUAUGACCAUUUAUAUGACUUUGGUUUUCAUGACAUCCUAACUGAGCUAAUUGAGGCUCGGAGAAG
Long non-coding RNA from Prunus dulcis (almond), 209 nucleotides. RefSeq lists it as uncharacterized. The transcript is spliced from 3 exons. The record is from RefSeq and is a predicted model, not a curated record. Lineage: Eukaryota; Viridiplantae; Streptophyta; Magnoliopsida; Rosales; Rosaceae.